This 766-nucleotide ribosomal RNA is filed under the name uncultured Candidatus Poseidoniales archaeon. RNAcentral's name for it is "bacterial SSU rRNA". It matches the Rfam family "Archaeal small subunit ribosomal RNA", at positions 1 to 772 of the family's 1478-position model. Lineage: Archaea; Methanobacteriati; Thermoplasmatota; Candidatus Poseidoniia; Candidatus Poseidoniales. The record is from RNAcentral.
UUCUGGUUGAUCCUGCCGGAGGCUACCGCUAUUGGAGUUCGAUUAAGCCAUGCGAGUCGCGAGAAAUUAGAUUCUCGGCGUACCGCUCAGUAACACGUGGGUAACCUGCCCUAUGCUGGAUAAUAACCUCGGGAAACUGAGAAUAAUGAUCCAUAGUUCACUACGCCUGGAACGGUGAGUGGAUGAAAGCUCCGGCGGCAUAGGAUGGGCCUGCGGCGUAUCAGGUUGUAGGGGGUGUAACGUACCCUCUAGCCCUCUACGCGUACGGGUGUUGGGAGACAUAGCCCGGAGAUGGAUUCUGAGACACGAAUCCAGACCCUACGGGGUGCAGCAGGCGCGAAAACUUGGCAAUGCGAGAAAUCGUGACCAGGGAACUCCAAGUGCAUCGGGUAAGACCGGUGCUUUUCUUGACUCUAAAUAGGUCUUGGAAUAAGGGGUGGGUAAGGACGGUGCCAGCCGCCGCGGUAAUACCGGCGCCUCAAGUGGUAGUCGCUUUUAUUGGGCCUAAAACGUCCGUAGCCGGUCUGAUACAUUCGUGGGUAAAUCAACCAGCUUAACUGGUUGAAUUCUGCGAGGACGGUCAGACUUGGGACCGGGAGAGGUGUGGGGUACGCUCAGGGUAGGGGUAAAAUCCUGUCAUCCUGAGCGGACCACCUGUUGCGAAGGCGCCACACUAGAACGGAUCCGACGGUCAGGGACGAAGCCUAGGGGCACGAACCGGAUUAGAUACCCGGGUAGUCCUAGGUGUAAACGCUGUGGACUUGAU